UUGACCUCGGAUCAGGUAGGGAUACCCGCUGAACUUAAGCAUAUCAAUAAGCGGAGGAAAAGAAACCAACCGGGAUUGCCCUAGUAACGGCGAGUGAAGCGGCAAGAGCUCAAAUUUGAAAGCUGGCCCCCUCGGGGUCCGCAUUGUAAUUUGCAGAGGAUGCUUCGGGAGCGGUCCCCAUCUAAGUGCCCUGGAACGGGCCGUCAUAGAGGGUGAGAAUCCCGUAUGGGAUGGGGUGCCCGCGCCCGUGUGAAGCUCCUUCGACGAGUCGAGUUGUUUGGGAAUGCAGCUCUAAUUGGGUGGUAAAUUUCAUCUAAAGCUAAAUAUUGGCCGGAGACCGAUAGCGCACAAGUAGAGUGAUCGAAAGAUGAAAAGCACUUUGAAAAGAGAGUUAAACAGCACGUGAAAUUGUUGAAAGGGAAGCGCUUGCGAUCAGACUCGCCCACGGGGUUCAGCCGGCAUUCGUGCCGGUGUACUUCCCCGCGGGCGGGCCAGCGUCGGUUUGGGCGGUCGGUCAAAGGCCCCUGGAAUGUAACGCCUCUCGGGGCGUCUUAUAGCCAGGGGUGCCAUGCGACCUGCCCGGACCGAGGAACGCGCUUCGGCUCGGACGCUGGCAUAAUGGUCGUAAGCGACC
This 634-nucleotide ribosomal RNA is filed under the name Penicillium roseopurpureum. Its description in RNAcentral is "eukaryotic LSU rRNA". It matches the Rfam family "Eukaryotic large subunit ribosomal RNA", at positions 1 to 649 of the family's 3401-position model. Lineage: Eukaryota; Fungi; Ascomycota; Eurotiomycetes; Eurotiales; Aspergillaceae. The record is from RNAcentral.